Molecule: long non-coding RNA, 1611 nt
Filed under: Equus caballus (horse)
Lineage: Eukaryota; Metazoa; Chordata; Mammalia; Perissodactyla; Equidae
Description: lncRNA (ENSECAG00000052864.1)
Source: RNAcentral
AUUUAAUCCAGCUCAUCCAGGGAAGGCGCCCUGCCCUAGGGACUCACCCCACCCACUAGCCAGCCAACAGGGAACUUGUGGGGCUGUGUAGGUGGUGUGUUCUGGACCUCUACAGCAAGACAAGCAGAAUCCAUGUCAUUAGAGGGCUUUAGAAACUCAGCGCCAUAGGAAGUUUGCAGAUGAAGCGUUUGUCCAAUCCAGACCUUGUACUGCAUGUCGGGCGCUCCCAGCACUGCCAGGGAAUUCUGGGGAAAGCCCAGGUGACCCUUUCCUAGCUGAAGCACGCAAAGGACCCCAAGGCCCCUUACCUGCAACAGGCCAAACUGAGGAACAGAAAGCUCACCCUCCUGAGGGCCAUUCGACAACAUAGUCAGCAACCAAACUCCUGCAAGACAAAAGCAAUAUAUGAGGCCUCAGGAAAUAAACCCAAAGCAGUAUUUGCAGAACGCGGACUUCCAUGCCAGAAAGGGCUGUCGAGAAUAUGUCACAUUUCCUUUAACACACUUCUUAGGGAAGUCAACAUUUUGCCUGUCUAUUGUGACCCUUUAGCACUCGCACUUGAUACAUGCUCCUUCCUGCACGGUCCUCUCCUUUCGUGUUAAAUGCUUCCACUCUACAGUCAGUCAAGAGAAGAAAAAUGAUGGCGUGUGCAUGCCAGAGGGAGUCAGCACCCUCGCAAAUCAUCAGGAGCAUGUGAAUUUCUGCCAUCACUUGUGUGGAGUGGGGGCCACCCCUAGCUACGCAGCAGCCAGGCAAGGAUAACCGGGAGCAAGAGGUCUAGAUGACUCCUUCGACAACUUUUAGCAAGGAUUUGCUGGGUGCAUUCUGAUUUGCUUCCAGAGAGGUCUGUGUGUUUGUGUGAGGGAGAGAGAUGGAGGGAGAGGGAAGGGAAGAUGAUUUCAUGGUUUGAAAGCUGCUGGGAAAGCUGGUUCCCACUAAAUGCAGAAAAGCCAUUGGACAAAAUCCAACACCCUUUGUGAUCAAAACACUCAGGACACUAGAAACACAAGGCAGCUCCCUGAGCCUGGGAAAGGGCAUCUGUGAACAAGACAGAGCUCACAUGCAUCAUACUUCACGGGAGAGACUGGAAGCCUCGUCCCUGACGUCAGGACAAGGUGAGCAAGGGCCACUCCCAUCAAUUCUAUUUUACAUUUACGGGAGGUUUUAGCCAUGUCAGAUAGGCAAGAAAAUGAAAUAAAAGGCAUCCAGAUUGGACGGAGUGAAGUAAAACUCUCUCUAUUUGCAAAUGACAUGACCAUGUAUAUAGGAAAUCAGAGAAAACAGAAAAAGUGUUGGAACGAAUAAACGACUUCUGCAAAAUGGCAGGAUACAAGAUCAGUAAAAAAACCCAAAACCACCACCAAUCUACGGAACUACAAGUUGGUGCAGCCACCAUGGAAAACAGUAUGGAAGUUCCUCCAAAGAUUAAAAACAGAACCACCAUAUGAUCCAGUAAUUCCACUUCUGGGUAUUUACACAAUGGAAACAGAAACAUUCCUGCAGACAGACAUCUGCCCCCCAUGUUCACUGCAGCAUGAUUCACAGAAGCCCAGACACAGAAGCAACCCACGUGUCUGAGCUAUAGAUGCAGAGAACAGGUUGUCGGCUGCC